This 585-nucleotide ribosomal RNA is filed under the name uncultured bacterium. RNAcentral's name for it is "bacterial SSU rRNA". It matches the Rfam family "Bacterial small subunit ribosomal RNA", at positions 56 to 650 of the family's 1533-position model. The record is from RNAcentral.
UGCAGUCGAACGGUGAUAUUUAUAUCAUAGUGGCGCACGGGUGCGUAACACGUAUGCAACCUACCUAUUAUUGGGGGAUAGCCUUUGGAAACGGAGAUUAAUACCGCAUAAUACGAUUAACUGGCAUCGGUUGAUUGUUAAAGCAUUUGCGAUAAUAGAUGGGCAUGCGUCCAAUUAGUUAGUUGGUGUGGUAAUGGCUCACCAAGACGAUGAUUGGUAGGGGAUCUGAGAGGAUAAUCCCCCACACUGGCACUGAGAUACGGGCCAGACUCCUACGGGAGGCAGCAGUAGGGAAUAUUGGGCAAUGGGCGGAAGCCUGACCCAGCCAUGCCGCGUGCAGGAAGACGGCGUUAUGCGUUGUAAACUGCUUUUUUAUAGGAAGAAGGAUCCCUUGCGAGGGAAGGUGACGGUACUAUAAGAAUAAGCACCGGCUAACUCCGUGCCAGCAGCCGCGGUAAUACGGAGGGUGCAAGCGUCGUCCGGAUUUAUUGGGUUUAAAGGGUGCGUAGGCGGUUUAUUAAGUCAGUGGUGAAAGACGGUCGCUCAACGAUUGCAGUGCCAUUGAUACUGGUAGACUUGAGUGAG